RNAcentral lists this ribosomal RNA (157 nucleotides) under Fusarium poae. RNAcentral's name for it is "5.8S ribosomal RNA". It matches the Rfam family "5.8S ribosomal RNA". Rfam says of the family: 5.8S ribosomal RNA (5.8S rRNA) is a component of the large subunit of the eukaryotic ribosome. It is transcribed by RNA polymerase I as part of the 45S precursor that also contains 18S and 28S rRNA. The record is from RNAcentral. Lineage: Eukaryota; Fungi; Ascomycota; Sordariomycetes; Hypocreales; Nectriaceae.
UUUCAACAACGGAUCUCUUGGUUUCUUGGCAUCGAUGAAGAACGCAGCAAAAUGCGAUAAGUAAUGUGAAUUGCAGAAUUCAGUGAAUCAUCGAAUCUUUGAACGCACAUUGCGCCCGCCAGUAUUCUGGCGGGCAUGCCUGUUCGAGCGUCAUUUC